AUAAAUGAAUUACUAAUAAAUGAAUGUAACAUAAUGUAAUGUAAAUUUAAAGGAGCCAGAGUCCAGAGGUCUAGCCUGGGUCUGAGGCAUAUCCCCCGUGACUUAGAGCUGGCCAUGAUGAGACCCCGUCUGGUCAAGUCAGCCGUUCCCUCCCAGCAGCCCUACCAGCCGUGGGACGACGAGGACGAGGUGGACAUCUACGCCCUGAGGCGAACAGCCUACAUGUGUCCCAUGUACGACCAGGAGGAGAGCAGCGUCAGGGGCAACAAGAGGGUGGCAGUGGAGGCCCUGGACAACAUUCCUUUCAGAAGGAAGAUCACCUUGUGUUAUUUCAUGGGGGGGUCGCAGGGUCAUGCUGCCAAAAGACUACUAACUCCACCCCCCUCAAUUUCCACAACAACCCCCCUUUGUCCCAGACAGCGAAAAACAGGACACACACAGAGAGACAGAGUGGACACCAACAGGGCCAUCAGAGGGACAGAGACCCUCUCAGUUGAGGUUAGGAAUGUCAGCUACUAAAAGGCUUCUAUAGACCAUCUCUGUAGCAAGAGAACCUCCAGUGAUCAGACUGGGCUGUCCUCUGUCUCCCCUCAUCUCUGAUACUCCAGACUGGGCUGUCCUUUGUCUCCCCUCAUCUCUGAUACUCCAGACUGGGCUGUCCUCUGUCUCCCCUCAUCUCUGAUACACCAGACUGGGCUGUCCUCUGUCUCCCCUCAUCUCUGAUACUCCAGACUGGGCUGUCCUCUGUCUCCCCUCAUCUCUGAUACUCCAGACUGGGCUGUCCUCUGCCACACUCACCUCUGAUACUCCAGACUGGGCUGUCCUCUGCCACACUCACCUCUUCUCCCCCAAGAGGACCCCUUCUCCCUGCCUCCCUUCCCCACUACUCCCCCUAGAGUACCGGUGCACCCUGCCUCCCCUCCCCACUACUCCCCCUAGAGUACCGGUGCACCCUGCCUCCCCUCCCCACUACUCCCCCUAGAGUACCGGUGCACCCUGCCUCCCCUCCCCACUACUCCCCCUAGAGUACCGGUGCACCCUGCCUCCCCUCCCCACUACUCCCCCUAGAGUACCGCUGCACCCUGCC
Molecule: long non-coding RNA, 1087 nt
Filed under: Oncorhynchus kisutch (coho salmon)
Lineage: Eukaryota; Metazoa; Chordata; Actinopteri; Salmoniformes; Salmonidae
Description: lncRNA (ENSOKIG00005040805.1)
Source: RNAcentral